Molecule: ribosomal RNA, 314 nt
Filed under: uncultured bacterium
Lineage: Bacteria
Description: partial 16S ribosomal RNA
Source: RNAcentral
CCGCCUUUACUUCCCCCUGUUUGCGGUCCUUGGCCCUCCAACUCUCGCCGCGGUCCAACAGCUAAGAAUUCGUUGGAAGGAGGCGAGAGGUAACUUCCGAGUAAGGUUAAGGGAAUUAAAUUUACCGGAAUAAUUUGGUUACGGAAAAGGAACCCAACCUAGGGUCGGAACGGGAAAGGUCCGUACUCCGUGGUACGGAACUAAAGUUUAGUCGGACCGUCUGGGAGGUCGAAGAACGCGGUGGGGAGCAAACAGGAUUAGAUACCCUGGUAGUCCACGACCGUAAACGAUGAUAACUAGCUGGUCGACGCGGC